This 253-nucleotide ribosomal RNA is filed under the name uncultured bacterium. Its description in RNAcentral is "partial 16S ribosomal RNA". It matches the Rfam family "Bacterial small subunit ribosomal RNA", at positions 524 to 776 of the family's 1533-position model. The record is from RNAcentral.
UACGUAGGGUGCGAGCGUUGUCCGGAAUUAUUGGGCGUAAAGAGCUUGUAGGUGGCUCGUUGCGUCGGGAGUGAAAGCCUGCGGCUUAACCGCAGGCCUGCUUCCGAUACGGGCGAGCUAGAGUUCGGCAGGGGAGACUGGAAUUCCUGGUGUAGCGGUGGAAUGCGCAGAUAUCAGGAGGAACACCGGUGGCGAAGGCGGGUCUCUGGGCCGAUACUGACACUGAGAAGCGAAAGCGUGGGGAGCGAACAGG